Molecule: ribosomal RNA, 166 nt
Filed under: Hymenostegia floribunda
Lineage: Eukaryota; Viridiplantae; Streptophyta; Magnoliopsida; Fabales; Fabaceae
Also listed under: 7 other names
Description: 5.8S ribosomal RNA
Rfam family: 5.8S ribosomal RNA
About the family: 5.8S ribosomal RNA (5.8S rRNA) is a component of the large subunit of the eukaryotic ribosome.
Source: RNAcentral
AACGACUCUCGGCAACGGAUAUCUCGGCUCUCGCAUCGAUGAAGAACGUAGCGAAAUGCGAUACUUGGUGUGAAUUGCAGAAUCCCGUGAACCAUCGAGUCUUUGAACGCAAGUUGCGCCCGAAGCCAUCAGGCCGAGGGCACGUCUGGCUGGGUGUCACACAGCA